RNAcentral lists this ribosomal RNA (363 nucleotides) under uncultured bacterium. Its description in RNAcentral is "bacterial SSU rRNA". It matches the Rfam family "Bacterial small subunit ribosomal RNA", at positions 72 to 422 of the family's 1533-position model. The record is from RNAcentral.
AAGCCCCGCAAGGGGUAAGUAGAGUGGCAAACGGGUGAGUAACACGUGGGUGACCUGCCUUCGAGUGGGGGAUAACGUCCCGAAAGGGACGCUAAUACCGCAUGACAUCCUGCUUUUGAAAAAGCGGAGAUCAAAGCUGGGGAUCGCAAGACCUAGCGCUUGAAGAGGGGCCCGCGCCUGAUUAGCUAGUUGGUGAGGUAACGGCUCACCAAGGCGACGAUCAGUAUCCGGCCUGAGAGGGCGGGCGGACACACUGGGACUGAGACACGGCCCAGACUCCUACGGGAGGCAGCAGUGGGGAAUUGUUCGCAAUGGGCGCAAGCCUGACGACGCAACGCCGCGUGGAGGACGAAGAUCUUCGGG